Molecule: ribosomal RNA, 318 nt
Filed under: Triticum aestivum (bread wheat)
Lineage: Eukaryota; Viridiplantae; Streptophyta; Magnoliopsida; Poales; Poaceae
Description: partial small subunit ribosomal RNA
Source: RNAcentral
AUGGCAAAGGUCAAGAUGCACCAUUUAUUUCUGAUUGAAGGAUGGUACUCUCAAGAUUAUUUUUGCAUCCAUGUUACAGGAUGGUUUACUCCUAGCUUAGAGGACAUACAUAUGACAGUACAUUGCCAAAGUAUACAACAGGUGAAUCGUUGGUUAUUUCUAUCUAGUAUACAUCGGUUGCUUCUUCUACCUCAGUCUUGCGCCAUGGAACUGGUUACCCCACAAACAACAGCAGGCUGGUCAAGCAAACAUCGCAAACACCGAAAUGGAUCAUCAGUUUCAUCACAGCAACACACAUCUAUUGUGCCAAGCCGCUGA